This 483-nucleotide long non-coding RNA is filed under the name Homo sapiens (human). Its description in RNAcentral is "non-protein coding lnc-KANTR-23:5". The record is from RNAcentral. Lineage: Eukaryota; Metazoa; Chordata; Mammalia; Primates; Hominidae.
GUAGGCCCGUGCCCCUGCUCGCGCUGCAGCCCGUGGAAGGGUUCCGUCCAGCGUAUCCUUCAGAUCUUGCUGUAGGCCUCUGGUGUCUGUGCGCGCGCGGCAGGGGCGGCGGCGGCGACGGCCGGAGGUGUACGGUCAGCGGGUUGCGGAGGAUCGUGCGGGUCGCAAAGGGAAGCCGAGUGCUCCUGCGGCUCCCAGACUGCAACCAGAACAUGCAUCAUUAUUAGAACCAUCACCCUGCAGCUAGCUUGGAUACCAUUAAAAGGGCUCAUCAGCUGCAAACGGAUUAAAGUAUCUGAUACUCGGGAAGACAGAGUUUCAGGGUUUCUACCUGGAGCUACACCCUCAGGAAGCCCCUCCUUGGCCUCCCUGCACCCAGUCCCAUCCCAACCAGUCACAUCUUGGGCUGUGCGUGGUGUUUCUUGGAAACUGGAACACAGACUCCUCCAGCAGCUCCACAGGUCCCUUGUCCUCAAUGAGCAG